This 258-nucleotide long non-coding RNA is filed under the name Malus domestica (apple). Its description in RNAcentral is "long non-coding RNA (MDOM_LNC019024)". The record is from RNAcentral. Lineage: Eukaryota; Viridiplantae; Streptophyta; Magnoliopsida; Rosales; Rosaceae.
ACUAUGUCAUAGAGUUGCACCUCUUAAUUCGAAAGAAAUAAGAAUGAAAAUCCUUAUGACUACAUUGAGUACAUAUACGAUAUAUACUCAAGGAAUGGUAAAGUACCAUUUGACCGAAAUAAUGAAACCUUCAUAAGCUAAUUGGUAGCUUAAGGUGACUACAAUCAAAGAGAAUGGUUUGACUUUGAAGAACCAUUUUUGACGUAGUCUUAGUUUCAAUUAAUUCGAAGAUUGCUAGCUACAACUAAAUGGUGAUUC